AUGGCGGUCGCCGCUCAGCCGCUGCUGGCCUCCGCGCUCCUCGCGCUCCUCCUCGCCGCCGUCUCCGCUGCUGAUACUAAGAAUAACCCUGCCGAUGAGCUUGUGAGCUUGAUCAACUCCAACCGUACCGCCAGCAAGGCAUCAAAUCUUGUUGAUAAUCAAGGUCUUGGAUGCAUUGCUCUGCAGUACAUAAAAGCAUAUGAGGGUCAGUGCGACCAGGUGGGUGGAAACAAGAAGCCUGUGGAUUCCAGUUUCAUUGACACAUUUGCCCCAAAUUGUGGUGUCCAAGCUGCAAGCCUUGCCAAGAUCACUGGGAGGCUCCUGGCGUGCCAGCCCAGCUACCCACCUCCGGCGCAGGCCUUCGACAUGCUCAUUGCUAAUGAGAGGAGCCUCCAGGUAUUGCAUAGCAAGAACCACACAGAGGUGGGGGCGGCUGUCACCGGCACUUCUGGCGGCGGUCCGUAUUUCUGGUGUGUCUUGUUCAGCAAUGGGAAGCCCAACUCGAGCUUCACGGUAGAAGGGGGUGUUCCCAAGACUGCCCAUCCUGGAUGCUUCAGCGGCAACAAUGACGAGUGCAGUGGUGCCAUUUCGACUGGUGUGAGUGCAUGGACACUAGUGUCGGCCACUCUUUUUGCUCUGGCUGGCGCCUUUACUUUGUGA
Molecule: ribosomal RNA, 660 nt
Filed under: Triticum aestivum (bread wheat)
Lineage: Eukaryota; Viridiplantae; Streptophyta; Magnoliopsida; Poales; Poaceae
Description: partial small subunit ribosomal RNA
Source: RNAcentral